ACGCGAAGAACCUUACCAGCCCUUGACAUCCCGGUCGCGGACUCCAGAGACGGAGUCCUUCAGUUCGGCUGGACCGGAGACAGGUGCUGCAUGGUUGUCGUCAGCUCGUGUCGUGAGAUGUUGGGUUAAGUCCCGCAACGAGCGCAACCCUUAAGCUUAGUUGCCAUCAUUAAGUUGGGCACUCUAAGUUGACUGCCGGUGACAAACCGGAGGAAGGUGGGGAUGACGUCAAAUCAUCAUGCCCCUUAUGAUUUGGGCUACACACGUGCUACAAUGGACAAUACAAAGGGCAGCUAAACCGCGAGGUCAUGCAAAUCCCAUAAAGUUGUUCUCAGUUCGGAUUGUAGUCUGCAACUCGACUACAUGAAGCUGGAAUCGCUAGUAAUCGUAGAUCAGCAUGCUACGGUGAAUACGUUCCCGGGCCUUGUACACACCG
RNAcentral lists this ribosomal RNA (436 nucleotides) under uncultured bacterium. RNAcentral describes it as "bacterial SSU rRNA". It matches the Rfam family "Bacterial small subunit ribosomal RNA", at positions 959 to 1392 of the family's 1533-position model. The record is from RNAcentral.